Non-coding RNA from Gossypium hirsutum (cotton), 142 nucleotides. Lineage: Eukaryota; Viridiplantae; Streptophyta; Magnoliopsida; Malvales; Malvaceae. The record is from Rfam.
UGUUAAAAAUUUCAUCUAUUUGUACUGUUAAAAGCUGGCGUGGUUAACGAAAUAACUAGAUAUUGACAUGUUAUGUGCCCAUGUUCCUCAUGCUAAUCCAUAUAUAUAUUUUUAACAGCAUAAAUGAAUGAAAAUUUUAACA